GAUGAACGCUGGCGGCGUGCCUAAUACAUGCAAGUCGAGCGAACAGACGAGGAGCUUGCUCCUCUGACGUUAGCGGCGGACGGGCGAGUAACACGUGGAUAACCUACCUAUAUGACUGGGAUAACUUCGGGAAACCGGAGCUAAUACCGGAUAAUAUAUUGAACCGCAUGGUUCAAUAGUGAAAGACGGUUUUGCUGUCACUUAUAGCUGGAUCCGCGCCGCCUUAGCUAGUUGGUAAGGUAACGGCUUACCAAGGCAACGAUGCGUAGCCGACCUGAGAGGGUGAACGGCCACACUGGAACUGAGACACGGGCCAGACUCCUACGGGAAGCAGCAGUAGGGAAUCUUCCGCAAUGGGCGAAAGCCUGACGGAGCAACGCCGCGGGAGGGAUGAAGGUCUUCGGAUCGUAAAACUCUGUUAUUAGGGAAGAACAAAUGUGUAAGUAACUAUGCACGUCUUGACGGUACCUAAACAGAAAGCCACGGCUAACUACGUG
This 497-nucleotide ribosomal RNA is filed under the name uncultured bacterium. RNAcentral describes it as "partial 16S ribosomal RNA". It matches the Rfam family "Bacterial small subunit ribosomal RNA", at positions 28 to 507 of the family's 1533-position model. The record is from RNAcentral.